ACGGGCGGCGGGCCCGGUUCUCCUCCCCUUGCCGGCGGAGGUAGGAGGCGGCCGCCGGCCCUCCCCGACCGCGCAUGCGGCUGUGCUGGGACGGGGCAGCGCCGCUGUGCUCGUGGGUUGAAGUGUGGGUGUCCGUAGCCCUGGUUCCCUCCCUGAGGGGCCCCCGUCAGCGCCCCAGCAGAUGGGCUUAGGCUGGAGCAGUGCGGAGGAGCGGCAGCCCCUUUUGCCGCCGCCGCCACAGCAACAGCAGGAACGGCGGCGGCCGCGGGAGCCGGCGGGGGCCCCGGCGCUGCCGGCGGCGGUGCCGGGGCCGGUGCGACGCUUGCCGCCGUUGGCGGGCCGCGUCUAUGGGCGGCGGUGGCUGGUGCUGCUGCUCUUCUCGCUGCUGGGCUUUGCGCAGGGCCUGGUGUGGAACAGCUGGGGCCCCAUCCAGAACUCGGCCCGCCUGGCCUUCGGCUUCAGCGGCUGGGACAUCGCCCUUCUCGUCUUCUGGGGGCCCAUCGGCUUCGUGCCCUGCUUCUUCUUCAUGUGGCUCAUGGACAAGAAGGGUCUGAGAGUAACUGUUUUGCUAACAUCAUCUCUCAUGGUGCUGGGAGCUGGCCUGAGAUGUGUUCCUGUUUCAGACCUAGAAAUCAGGAAGAAGCUUAUCCACGGAGGGCAGCUGCUAAACGGCUUGGCGGGGCCGACUGUGAUGAACGCGGCGCCAUUCCUUUCCACCACCUGGUUUUCUCCAGAUGAACGUGCCACAGCAACAGCCAUCGCAUCGUUGCUCAGUUCCCUGGGUGCUGCUGGUGCCUUUCUAGUGGGACCUCUUGUUGUGCCAUCUCCUAAUGGAACGUCUCACCUCCUGCUGGCAUCACCGAGCAGCACUGAACACAUCAAGGACCGCAUUGAGGCUGUGCUGUAUGCAGAAUUUGGAAUGGUUUCCCUGAUAUUUUCUGCAGCAUUGGCCUACUUCCCCUCACGCCCUCCAUUCCCUCCCAGCGUGGCUGCAGCGAGUCAACGGCUCAGCUACAGGAGGAGUUUUUGCAGGCUCUUAAGCAAUUUCCGAUUCUUGAUGAUUGCUUUAGCCUAUGCUAUACCACUGGGUGUUUUCUCUGGCUGGUCUGGUGUUCUGGAUUUGAUAUUAACACCAGUUCAUGUAAGCCAAGUAGAUGCAGGGUGGAUUGGAUUUUGGUCUAUAGUUGGAGGUUGUGUUGUUGGCAUAGCAAUGGCAAGAUUUGCAGAUUUUAUCAGGGGCAUGCUGAAGUUUAUACUGCUGCUGCUUUUAUCUGGAGCAACAUUAGCAUCAACCUGGUUCACUCUCACCUGCCUAACUAGUGUCACUCAUCUGCCUUUAACCACAGCUACACUGUACACAUCCUGUAUUUUGUUGGGUAUAUUCCUCAACAGCAGUGUACCAAUAUUCUUUGAACUCUUUGUGGAGACAGUCUACCCUGUUCCAGAAGGAAUUACCUGUGGAGUUGUCACCUUUUUGAGUAAUGUGUUUAUGGGAGUGCUUUUGUUUUUCCUCACAUUUUACCAUACAGAGUUUUCUUGGUUCAACUGGUGCCUGCCAGGAUCCUGUCUGCUCAGCCUGCUUCUCAUCCUGUGCUUCCGUGAGUCCUAUGACAGACUCUAUCUCGAUGUCGUCGUCUCUGUGUGAUUACAGUGGACUGGCGAGAGAUUGGAAAAGACUGGAAGCCAGCUUUGCAGUCUGCACAUCUGCCUGGAUUUGCACAACUGAACAGCAGGAAAACAACUGCAAGACUGUAAUCGUGGCUUUCUUAGAGAGGUGGCUGGAAGAGUUUCAGUAUCCAGUAGCUGCUGCUACCUAUUGUCUUCUGAAACCAGGGAUCACUUGCCAAGAGUCUGAUUGGAGUUGCAUUGUCAUGGCAGAAUGGCAAGCUCGGAUGGCUCUUCAGAGCUCUGCUCCUACAAUUUACUGUAGCUAUAUUAAGAUUAAAAUUGCACAGCUCGGGCGCUGUCCCGAGCGAUGGAGAUUUCUAAUCCUUUCACUGUCAUGACUAUUUUAACAUGGAGAAGCACUUCAGGCAGUGUUCAGACCAUAACCUAUCCUGCCUCUGUUCCAGACAGCCUUGAACAAUUUAAAAUAUUUUUCAGUGCUGCCAGAUGCAGGCUUUCUCUACAGCCAGAGCAGAAGAGUGAGUAUCUUGUGUUAAACCCCACUGAUUGUUUUUGUGAGUCUCUGUGAAUUGCUCACUGCUUUUGUGAACCUUCAUGCUGCGGUAGAAAUUUCUGAGUGCAGUGGGUUGACCCCAGAUGGACACCAGAUUCCCACCAGAGCUGCUCUAUCACUCCCCUCUUCAGCUGGACAUGGGAGAGAAAGUAUAAUGAAAGGCUUAUGGGUUAGGUGCAGGAAGAGAUUACUCAGUAAUUACCAUCAACAGGCAAAAUAGUCUCAGAUUGGGGAACCUUUACCAAUCAGGUCAGAGUAGUAGGGUAAUGAGAAAUGAACCCAAAUCUUUAAACACCUUUCCCCAACUUCUCCCUUCUUCCUGGGCUUCACUCUACUCCUGAUUUUCUCUACCUUCAGGGGUGGGCAGUGGGAGUUCUAAUCAGUUCAUUACUGAUGUUGUCUCCACUGCUGCUUUCUCCUUAGGGAGAGGACUCCUUAUGCUCUAUGUCCUGUGUGGGGUCCUUCCACAGGAGACAAUACUCCACAAACUUCUCCCAUGAGCUGCAGUUCUUCACCGACUGCUCCAACAUGGGUCCCUUCCAGAGAGUGCAGUCCUUCAGGAGUGCUAUUCCAGUGUGGGUCUCCCACAGUGGGACAAGUCCUGCCCCCAAACCUGCUCCAUCAGGGGCUCCUCUCUCUGCAGGUCCUGCCAGGAGGCUGCUCCAGUAGGCUUACCACAGGGUCACACCCUCUUUUGGGCAAACACCUGCUCCAGCAUGGGGUCCUUCAUGGGCUGCAGAGGGAUCUGAUAUACUACCAAGGGACACCCUGCCUUACCAUGGUCUUCCCCAUGAGGCACCUCUUCCCACUCUCUCUUCACUGACUUUGGUGUCUACAGCGUUUUUCCUUUCACAUAUUCUCACUCCUCUCUUCGGCUGCUGUCAUGCAGCAGUUUCCUCUCCUUAAAUUUGUUAUCCCAGAGGCAUUACUGCCGUUGCUGCUGGGCUCAGCCUUGACCAGUGGUGGGUCCUUCUUGGAGCUGGCUGGCAUUGGCUCUGUCAGACACGGGGGAAGCUUCUAGCAAUUUCUUACAGAAGCCACACCUAUAGCCCCUCUGCUCACAAAACCUCAC
RNA transcript from Dryobates pubescens (Downy woodpecker), 3251 nucleotides. It is a transcript of the gene named solute carrier family 49 member 4, with no coding region annotated. Lineage: Eukaryota; Metazoa; Chordata; Aves; Piciformes; Picidae. The record is from RefSeq and is a predicted model, not a curated record. The transcript is spliced from 10 exons.